UACAGAGGUCCCAAGCGUUGUUCGGAUUCACUGGGCGUAAAGGGUGCGUAGGUGGUGAGGUAAGUCGGAUGUGAAAUCUCCGAGCUCACCUCGGAAAUGGCAUUGGAAACUGCCUUGCUAGAGGAUCGGAGGGGGGACUGGAAUACUUGGUGUAGCAGUGAAAUGCGUAGAUAUCAAGUGGAACACCAGUGGCGAAGGCGAGUCCCUGGACGAUACCUGACACUGAGGCACGAAAGCUAGGGGAGCAAACAGG
Molecule: ribosomal RNA, 253 nt
Filed under: uncultured bacterium
Lineage: Bacteria
Description: partial 16S ribosomal RNA
Rfam family: Bacterial small subunit ribosomal RNA
Source: RNAcentral